UAUCGAUGAUGCAACGAAAACAGGGAUUGUAAAAUAAAAAUAAAAAAUCACGAGUGACAUAAAACAUGGAAGGAUCCAUGCUAAUGGAAUAUCGAUGCACAUAGCAGAGAAAGGGCAAGUACCUCUUGUUCUUCUCAUUCAUGGCUUCUCUGAAUCAUGUGUCCUGGUCCUGAGAGUGUAUUUAUGGAAGGGCAUGACUUGACUGGGGUGCAGAAGUGGCACCUUUUGCCAUUUCAGGCCAGGUAGAGUGAGGGCAGUUGUUAACUUAAGCGUCGCCUGCCGGACACGUUCCAGAGAAAUCAAACCUACCAAAUUAUUUGACGGGAUUUCUGGAGAAGGGUUCUACAUUUUUCAAUUUCAGGAGGCAGGAAGAGCUGAAAAGUCACUCGCUAAAUAUUAAAAUUACGUGUUUUCCGAGUGUUUGUUUUUUUUUUAGUUUUCAUCUACAUCACAAAUCUGUUUAGAUUUCUAGUUAGAUCAAAUAAGAUACUUUACCUAAUAAGAUUUGAUUGAUUUAGUUAAGUUUUUAGUAACCUAGUUAGCUUAAUAAACCAUUAAUCAUCCCGGUAACUCGGACUCCUUUUGAAUUGGUAACUAUAGUUAUGAUUUUUCACAUGAGCAUCCUUCAUGUAUUUACUUGUUUAAGUUCGGGUUGGAAAAUUGGAAAAUUUAUAUUCACGGAAUGUAUUCUUUUUUUUUUAUGAACUAACUUGGAUCUUCUUGCACUACGGCAGAGAGCUAAUAUUACUGUCCCCACAAAAUUGAUAGUCGGUGGCAAAGAUGUGGGUUUUCUGGCAUUUGGUACAAAGGACUGUGUUAAUGGAGAAAUAUCCAGGGAGCUUUUACCUAGCCUUGAAGUGGGUUUCAUUGAUGAGCUCGGCAGGAGAAAGCUGAACUAGUCUCGAAUCAGAUCUUGUCAUUUUUCAGCAAGAAAUCACUUCUAUGAUGAAUAAAUAAUGUACGCUGGGAUUUAAAGAUACAACUUUUACUGUGAUCUAUUGUUGUUUCACUGCUUACAAGGACAUUACUGGAUGGUUUUAA
Long non-coding RNA from Populus trichocarpa (black cottonwood), 1041 nucleotides. RefSeq lists it as uncharacterized. Lineage: Eukaryota; Viridiplantae; Streptophyta; Magnoliopsida; Malpighiales; Salicaceae. The record is from RefSeq and is a predicted model, not a curated record. The transcript is spliced from 3 exons.